UACAGAGGUCCCGAGCGUUGUUCGGAUUCACUGGGCGUAAAGGGUGCGUAGGUGGCAAGGUAAGUCGGAUGUGAAAUCUCCGAGCUCAACUCGGAAAUGGCAUUGGAAACUACCUUGCUAGAGGAUUGGAGGGGGGACUGGGAUUCUCGGUGUAGCAGUGAAAUGCGUAGAUAUCGAGAGGAACACCAGUGGCGAAGGCGAGUCCCUGGACAAUACCUGACACUGAGGCACGAAAGCUAGGGGAG
This 245-nucleotide ribosomal RNA is filed under the name uncultured bacterium. Its description in RNAcentral is "partial 16S ribosomal RNA". It matches the Rfam family "Bacterial small subunit ribosomal RNA", at positions 524 to 768 of the family's 1533-position model. The record is from RNAcentral.